This 465-nucleotide ribosomal RNA is filed under the name Vreelandella stevensii. Its description in RNAcentral is "partial 16S ribosomal RNA". It matches the Rfam family "Bacterial small subunit ribosomal RNA", at positions 338 to 795 of the family's 1533-position model. Lineage: Bacteria; Pseudomonadati; Pseudomonadota; Gammaproteobacteria; Oceanospirillales; Halomonadaceae. The record is from RNAcentral.
CCUACGGGUGGCAGCAGUGGGGAAUAUUGGACAAUGGGGGCAACCCUGAUCCAGCCAUGCCGCGUGUGUGAAGAAGGCCCUCGGGUUGUAAAGCACUUUCAGUGAGGAAGAACGCCUGGUGGUUAAUACCCAUCAGGAAAGACAUCACUCACAGAAGAAGCACCGACUAACUCCGUGCCAGCAGCCGCGGUAAUACGGAGGGUGCGAGCGUUAAUCGGAAUUACUGGGCGUAAAGCGCGCGUAGGUGGCUUGAUAAGCCGGUUGUGAAAGCCCCGGGCUCAACCUGGGAACGGCAUCCGGAACUGUCAAGCUAGAGUGCAGGAGAGGAAGGUAGAAUUCCCGGUGUAGCGGUGAAAUGCGUAGAGAUCGGGAGGAAUACCAGUGGCGAAGGCGGCCUUCUGGACUGACACUGACACUGAGGUGCGAAAGCGUGGGUAGCAAACAGGAUUAGAUACCCUUGUAGUC